GGUAUAAACCCGGGAAACUGGGUAUAAUCCCCGAUAGAUCUCGGUCGCUGGAAUGCCCCGAGAUCGAAAGCUCCGGCGCCAGAGGAUGGGUCUGCGGCCUAUCAGGUAGUAGUGGGUGUAGCGUACCUACUAGCCUACGACGGGUACGGGUUGUGAGAGCAAGAGCCCGGAGAUGGAUUCUGAGACACGAAUCCAGGCCCUACGGGGUGCAGCAGGCGCGAAAACUUUACAAUGCCGGCAACGGCGAUAAGGGGACCUCGAGUGCCAGGUUACAAAUCUGGCUGUCGUGAUGCCUAAAAAGCCUUGCAUA
This 310-nucleotide ribosomal RNA is filed under the name uncultured Methanosaeta sp. RNAcentral's name for it is "bacterial SSU rRNA". It matches the Rfam family "Archaeal small subunit ribosomal RNA", at positions 123 to 435 of the family's 1478-position model. Lineage: Archaea; Methanobacteriati; Methanobacteriota; Methanomicrobia; Methanotrichales; Methanotrichaceae. The record is from RNAcentral.